GCGCAACUGAGUAGUCUAAUGUAUGUCCGGUUUUGGUUAUUGUGAACGUUGACAUUGAUACGUUGUAAAUUUACACCUCGGCGGCAUAAUAGACAGCACAUAUACUAUGUAGCUUUGCUUCGGUUGAAUGAGAAAAAGUACUCGUUGCCAAGUUAUACUGUUAGGGCGCAACUGAGUAGUCUAAUGUUUGUCCGGUUUUGGUUAUUGUGAACGUUGACAUUGGAACGUUGCAAAUUUACACUCUCGGGGCCUAAUAGAACAAUAUAAUUAGGUUUUACUCUUUUUUCGGUUGAAUGAGAAAAAGUACUCGUUGCAAAGUAAUACUGUUAGGGCGCAACUGAAUGGGCUACUGUUGGUUUGGUUUUGGUUUAUGUGAAAGUUGACAUCUAUAAGUUGCAAAUUUACACUCUCGGGGAAUAAUAGAAUAAUAUAAAUAGGUUUAACUCUUUGUUCGAUUGAAUGAGAAAAAGCACUGUUUGCAAAGUUAUACUGUCAGGGCGCAACUAAGUAGGCUACUGUUGGUCUGGUUUUGAUUUGUGUGAACGUUGACAUCGGUACGUUGCUAAUUUACACCCUCGGGGCAUAAUAAAAUAAUAUAAUUGUGUUUUACUCUUCGUUCAGUUGAAUAAGAAAAAGUUCUCGUUGCCAAGUUAUGCUGUUAGGGCACAAACGGAGUAGUCAAAUAUUUGUCUGGUUUUGGUCUUUGUGAAUGUUGACGUUGAUAACUUGCAAAUUUGCGCUCUCGGGGUAUAAUAGACCAAUAUAAUUGGGUUUUACUCAUAGUUCGGCUGAAGGAGAAAAAGUACUCGUUGAAAAGUUAUACUGUAUGUACGCAACAGAGUAGUCUAUUGUUGGUCCGGUUUUGGUUUUUGUGAUCUUUGACAUCGAUGCGUUUCAAAUUUACACACUCGGGGCAUAAUAAAAUAAUAUAAUUAGGUUUUACUCUUUGUUCGCAAGAAUGAGAAAAAGUACUCAUUGCAAAGUUAUAAUCUUAUGGAGCAACUGAGCAGUCUAAUGUUUUUCCGGUUUUUGUUCUUCCGAACAUUGACAUCGAUAUGUUGCAAAUUUACACUCUCGGGGCAUAAUAGAAUAAUAAAAUUAGGUUUUACUCUUUGUUCGUUUGAACGAUAAAAAGUACUCAUUGCAAAGUUAUAAUCUCAUGGAGCAACUGAGCAGUCUAAUAUUUUUCCAGUUUUGGUACUUGUGAACGUUGACAUCGAUAAGUUGAAAAUUUACACUCUCGGGGAAUAAUGGACCAAUAUAAUUAGGUUUUACCCUUUGUUCGGUUGAAGGAGAAAAUGUACUCGUUGAAAAGUUAUACUAUUAGGGCGCAACAGAGAAGUCUAAUGUUGGUCCGGUUUUAGUUCUUGUGAACGUUGACAUCGAUACGUUGCAAAUUUACACUCUCGGGGCAUAUUAAAAUAUUAUAAUUAGGUUUUACUCGUUGUUCGUUUGAAUGAGAAAAAGUACUCAUUGCAAAGUUAUAAUCUUAUGGAGCAACUGAGCAGUCUAAUAUUUUUCCGGUUUUGGUUCUUCUAACAUUGACAUCGAUACGUUGCAAAUUUACACUCUCGGGGCAUAAUAGAACAAUAUAAUUAGGAUUUACUCUUUGUUCGAUUGAAUGAGAAAAAGUGCUCGUUGCAAAGUUAUACUGUUAGGGCGCCACUGAGUAGUCUUCUGUAGGUCUGGUUUUGGUUUAUGUGCAUGUUGACAUUGAUACAUUGCAAAUUUAUACAUUCGGGGCAUAAUAUAACAAUAUAAUUAGGUUUUACUCUUCGUUCGGUUGAAUGAGAAAAAGUACUCGUUGCCAAGUUAUACUGUUAGGGCGCAACUGAGUAGUCUAAUGUAUGUCCGGUUUUGGUUAUUGUGAACGUUGACAUUGAUACGUUGUAAAUUUACACUCUCGGGGCAUAAUAGAACAAUAUAAUUAGGUUUUACUCUUUGUUCGGUUGAAUGAGAAAAAGUACUCGUUGCAAAGUUAUACUGUUAGGGCGCAACUGAGUGGGCUACAGUUGGUCUGGUUUUGGUUUAUGUGAAAGUUGACAUCGAUAAGUUGCAAAUUUACACUCUCGGGGCAUAAUAGAAUAAUAUAAAUAGGUUUAACUCUUUGUUCGAUUGAAUGAGAAAAAGCACUGUUUGCAAAGUUAUACUGUUAGGGCGCAACUAAGAAGGCUACUGUUGGUCUGGUUUUGGUUAACGUGAACGUUGACAUCGAUACGUUGCUAAUUUACACACUCGGGGCAUAAUAAAACAAUAUAAUUAGGUUUUACUUUUCGUUCGGUUGAAUGAGAAAAAGUACUCGUUGCCAAGUUAUACUGUUAGGGCGCAACUGAGUUGUCUAAUGUUUGUCCGGUUUUGGUUAUUGUGAACGUUGA
This 2375-nucleotide long non-coding RNA is filed under the name Ananas comosus (pineapple). Its description in RNAcentral is "long non-coding RNA (ACOM_LNC040457)". Lineage: Eukaryota; Viridiplantae; Streptophyta; Magnoliopsida; Poales; Bromeliaceae. The record is from RNAcentral.